CAUUUAAAUUUCCUGACUCCCAGUCCCUCUUUCUACCUCAUUUUUUCCAGAUGAGUCUAUAGAAUGGUUCUCUCACCAGUGACUGAGGCAGUCAACAGAACUGAAAUAUUGUGUACAUAUUUUUCCUACAAUGAACUUUCUUCUUAUGUUUAAAUCUCAUCCACACAUCAUACAUUGUGAUGGCAAUUGUCAUUGUAGACCCGAUUCUGGUGUUACACUAGUGCAGCUCAACUGACUUCUGCUUUACAGCUAGCACACAGUAGCAGCUGAAACACACUGAAACAGUUUCUCCAAAUGAAACAGACAAUAGCUCUGGUGUGUUGGAUAGUACAUG
This is a long non-coding RNA of Aquila chrysaetos chrysaetos, 334 nucleotides long. RefSeq lists it as uncharacterized. The transcript is spliced from 3 exons. NCBI's taxonomy places the organism in Eukaryota, Metazoa, Chordata, Aves, Accipitriformes, Accipitridae. The record is from RefSeq and is a predicted model, not a curated record.